UGGGGAAUCUUGCACAAUGGGGGCAACCCUGAUGCAGCGACGCCGCGUGAGCGAUGAAGCCCUUCGGGGCGUAAAGCUCUUUCGACCGGAACGAUAAUGACGGUACCGGGAGAAGAAGCUGCGGCUAACUACGUGCCAGCAGCCGCGGUAAUACGUAGGCAGCAAGCGUUGUUCGGAGUUACUGGGCGUAAAGAGUGCGUAGGCGGUUUUCUAAGUUCGGUGUGAAAUCUCCCGGCUUAACUGGGAGGGUGCGCCGAAGACUGGGAAGCUGGAGCGUGGGAAAGGCGGGCUGAAUUCCUGGUGUAGCGGUGAAAGGCGUAGAUAUCAGGAGGAACACCGGCGGUGUAGACGGCUUGCUAGACCAUAACUGACGCUGAGGCACGAAAGCGUGGGUAGCAAACA
This 402-nucleotide ribosomal RNA is filed under the name uncultured bacterium. RNAcentral's name for it is "bacterial SSU rRNA". It matches the Rfam family "Bacterial small subunit ribosomal RNA", at positions 355 to 774 of the family's 1533-position model. The record is from RNAcentral.